AUGUACACCAUGGUCACCAUGUCCUUCCUCGACGUCUUCGGCGCCAACGGCAAGUACCACCUCGACCUCUCCGGCCACGACCUCUCCUCCGUCGGCGCCGACAUCAAGCACUGCCAGUUCAAGGGCGUGCCCGUCUCCCUCUCCAUCGGCGGCUACGACACCGGCUACUCGCUGCCGUCCAACCGCUCCGCGCUCGACCUCUUCGACCACCUGUGGAACUCCUACUUCGGCGAGUCCAAGCCGGGCGUCCCCUGCCCCUUCGGCGACGCGUGGCUCGACGGCGUCGACCUCUUCCUGGAGCACGGCACGCCGGCGGACCGCUACGACGUGCUGGCGCUGGAGCUGGCCAAGCACAACAUCCGCGGGGGGCCGGGGAAGCCGCUGCACCUGACGGCGACGGUCCGGUGCGGGUACCCGCCGGCGGCGCACAUGGGGCGGGCGCUGGCGACGGGGAUCUUCGAGCGCGUCCACGUGAGGACCUACGAGAGCGACAAGUGGUGCAACCAGAACCUUGGGUGGGAGGGCUCGUGGGACAAGUGGACGGCGGCGUACCCGGCCACCCGGUUCUACGUCGGGCUCACGGCGGACGACAAGUCCCACCAGUGGGUACACCCCAAGAACGUCUACUACGGCGUCGCGCCGGUGGCGCAGAAGAAGGACAACUACGGCGGCAUCAUGCUCUGGGACCGAUACUUCGACAAGCAGACCAACUACAGCAGCUUGAUCAAGUACUACGCCUGA
This 741-nucleotide ribosomal RNA is filed under the name Triticum aestivum (bread wheat). RNAcentral's name for it is "partial small subunit ribosomal RNA". The record is from RNAcentral. Lineage: Eukaryota; Viridiplantae; Streptophyta; Magnoliopsida; Poales; Poaceae.